Molecule: ribosomal RNA, 1068 nt
Filed under: Gordonia sp. LAM0048
Lineage: Bacteria; Bacillati; Actinomycetota; Actinomycetes; Mycobacteriales; Gordoniaceae
Description: bacterial LSU rRNA
Rfam family: Bacterial large subunit ribosomal RNA
Source: RNAcentral
GUGCUGGAAGGUUAAGAGGACCGGUUAGUCACUUCGGUGGCGAAGCUGAGAAUUUAAGCCCCAGUAAACGGCGGUGGUAACUAUAACCAUCCUAAGGUAGCGAAAUUCCUUGUCGGGUAAGUUCCGACCUGCACGAAUGGCGUAACGACUUCUCUGCUGUCUCAACCACAGACUCGGCGAAAUUGCAGUACGAGUAAAGAUGCUCGUUACGCGCGGCAGGACGAAAAGACCCCGGGUCCUUCACUAUAGCUUGGUAUUGGUGUUCGGUUCGGUUUGUGUAGGAUAGGUGGGAGACUGUGAAGUGGGCACGCCAGUGUUCAUGGAGUCGUUGUUGAAAUACCACUCUGAUCGUAUUGGACUUCUAACCUCGGACCCUGAUCGGGUUCAGGGACAGUGCCUGGUGGGUAGUUUAACUGGGGCGGUUGCCUCCUAAAAGGUAACGGAGGCGCCCAAAGGUUCCCUCAGCCUGGUUGGCAAUCAGGUGUUGAGUGUAAGUGCACAAGGGAGCUUGACUGUGAGACGUACAUGUCGAGCAGGGACGAAAGUCGGGACUAGUGAUCCGGCACCGGCAAGUGGAAGCGGUGUCGCUCAACGGAUAAAAGGUACCCCGGGGAUAACAGGCUGAUCUUCCCCAAGAGUCCAUAUCGACGGGAUGGUUUGGCACCUCGAUGUCGGCUCGUCGCAUCCUGGGGCUGGAGUAGGUCCCAAGGGUUGGGCUGUUCGCCCAUUAAAGCGGCACGCGAGCUGGGUUUAGAACGUCGUGAGACAGUUCGGUCUCUAUCCGCCGCGCGCGUAAGAAACUUGAGGAAACCUGUCCCUAGUACGAGAGGACCGGGACGGACGAACCUCUGGUGUGCCAGUUGUCCCGCCAGGGGCACUGCUGGUUAGCUACGUUCGGAAGGGAUAACCGCUGAAAGCAUCUAAGCGGGAAGCCUGUUCCAAGAUGAGGUUUCUCACCCCCCUCAGCGGGGUUAAGGCCCCCUACAGACCAUGGGGUUGAUAGGCCAGAACUGUACGCACAGCAAUGUGUUCAGGUGACUGGUACUAAUCGGCCGAGGACUUACCAAC